GGUAAUUUAUCAUUAGAGAAUAACCAAGUUUCCUGCUGCUGUGAAAAGGUAAAUUGGCUAAUCCUAAAACUUGCCUCUAGCCCAGCUUUCGCUGGUCCAUUUACAGCCCUAGCUGUGCAAAGGUUUGAUGCACGAAUGGAAUGCAAAAGGAAUAAUUCACAAACUUUUCAUAUACAAAGCACUAUUAUCAGUUUCAUUUACAUGAAAUCAACUGAGUUGUAUAUACUCAAUUUACUGGAGAAAGUAAAAAACCAGUAUACAAUAUUCAUCAAGAUUCUAGAAUCACUAUCAAGCAGCUAUUCUUCCUUCCUUUUUACUUCUAAUGCAAUCUCAUUACGACGCGUAAAUGGAAGAGUAAAAGGGGGAUUGAACUGUGCAACUUCUGGUGAAGCACCCUCUUUUACUCUAAACUGCAUGUCAUUUUUCAAAGCAUUUCUUAACUUCAGCUCCCGUUGUUUAACAUCUUCAUCAGUAACAAAACCUGAAAACACAGCAACUGCAACAACUUUCCUUGGCACCUCUUUUAUCUUCACUGUUGGAUCUUUAGGCAGUGGCAAAUUGGCACCAUACUUGGAGGGCAUGACAAAGGACAUCUGCCAUUUAUCCUGAUCUUCCAUCUUCUUUGUUAUCACAGGUGUUGUCAUUUCCAUUCUCUCUCCAACAGAUUGAGCCUUACGUGUGAAAACAGGUGUACUCAUUUCCAUCUUCUCCUUAGUUGUAUUCUUACCAAACAAGUACUCAGCUAAGACAUUGAAGGAUUGAGAUGCACCACUGAAAUCAAAUCCAGUCUUCCCUGGCAUUGUUGUCUCCGCUAUAAAGUAAGGCUCAACUUCUCUGAUUUCAUACUGGUCUCUUCUACUCAAUACUUUAUACUCCACCGUUUCAAGAUCAGGAACGGCCAUCAGUGCUUCCUCCAAAUUCCGGCUCUCGAACCUCUUCGGGAACACGUAUUUCGCAGUUUCAUUCGUCAAAUCGACCAAAAGUCGCUGAGAGACAUUGGAGGCCUGAGAAACGAGGGCGAAGACAAGAGAGACGCGAGCUUCGAAGGCAGACGACAUGGCUCUCCUCGGCGGUGCGGAUGUGGAGGUGGCGGUUGCCCUGUCAGUGGCCAUGGAUUUGACAACGGUGUUGAAUAAUGGUCUGUUAGGGUUUAUAGAAGAGGCGAUGAGGAUUUUCGGCGGAGAAUGAACCAUCAGUGAAGGCCUGCAGUUGCAGAGAAGCAUCUUGUUUCGGGUUAUUUGCCUCCCGAAGUAUCUCAGGUUUUAAAU
Molecule: unclassified non-coding RNA, 1268 nt
Filed under: Hevea brasiliensis (rubber tree)
Lineage: Eukaryota; Viridiplantae; Streptophyta; Magnoliopsida; Malpighiales; Euphorbiaceae
Source: RNAcentral